UGGGGAAUAUUGCACAAUGGGGGAAACCCUGAUGCAGCGACGCCGCGUGAAGGAAGAAGUAUCUCGGUAUGUAAACUUCUAUCAGCAGGAAGAUAGUGACGGUACCCGACUAAGAAGCCCCGGCUAACUACGUGCC
This 136-nucleotide ribosomal RNA is filed under the name uncultured bacterium. Its description in RNAcentral is "partial 16S ribosomal RNA". It matches the Rfam family "Bacterial small subunit ribosomal RNA", at positions 355 to 509 of the family's 1533-position model. The record is from RNAcentral.